UACGGAGGGUGCAAGCGUUAUCCGGAUUCACUGGGUUUAAAGGGUGCGUAGGAGGGCAGGUAAGUCAGUGGUGAAAUCUCCAAGCUUAACUUGGAAACUGCCGUUGAUACUAUCUGUCUUGAAUAUUGUGGAGGUGAGCGGAAUAUGUCAUGUAGCGGUGAAAUGCAUAGAUAUGCCAUAGAACACCAAUUGCGAAGGCAGCUUACUGGGCCUUGAUUGACGCUGAGGCACGAAAGCGUGGGGAUCAAACAGG
This 253-nucleotide ribosomal RNA is filed under the name uncultured bacterium. RNAcentral describes it as "partial 16S ribosomal RNA". It matches the Rfam family "Bacterial small subunit ribosomal RNA", at positions 524 to 776 of the family's 1533-position model. The record is from RNAcentral.